GCAACUGUCACCAUGGUUACUUUCAUUUCGGCAUUUAGUAGUUUUAAUAAUAAAUGGUUCAGUUAGAUAAUUAUAUUGAUGUUUGAAUAUUUGUGAAUUGGUUUUAGUGUAUGAUUUACUAUGAUGCAUGAGAUUAGAGUUUUCAGAUCUGUGGUUUUUGGUUCUCGUAUUUAUGGAUUUACUCAUCGUGGUUUUCUAGCCCUCGAGGUAGCUGGUUUUUAAAAUAGAGUUUCCGUGUGGGAAACAAUUUUAAAAAGAUUUUCGAAUGGUUUUCAUGGAUGAUUGAAUUAGAGUUUAAAAACAAAGCUUCUGGGUGGGGA
RNAcentral lists this long non-coding RNA (320 nucleotides) under Ananas comosus (pineapple). RNAcentral's name for it is "long non-coding RNA (ACOM_LNC035286)". Lineage: Eukaryota; Viridiplantae; Streptophyta; Magnoliopsida; Poales; Bromeliaceae. The record is from RNAcentral.